AACGAACGCUGGCGGCAUGCCUAACACAUGCAAGUCGAACGAGACCUUCGGGUCUAGUGGCGCACGGGUGCGUAACGCGUGGGAACCUGCCCUUAGGUUCGGAAUAACUCCCCGACAGGGGUGCUAAUACCGGAUAAUGUCUUCUGACCAAAGAUUUAUCGCCUUUGGAUGGGCCCGCGUUGGAUUAGCUAGUUGGUAGGGUAAAAGCCUACCAAGGCUACGAUCCAUAGCUGGUCUGAGAGGAUGAUCAGCCACACUGGGGCUGAGACACGACCCAGACUCCUGCGGGAGGCAGCAGUGGGGAAUAAUGGAAAAUGGGCGAGAGCCUGAUGGAGCGAUGCCGCGAAAGUGAUGAUGGCGUUAGGGUUGUAAAGCUCUUUUACCCGGGAUGAUAAUGACAGUACCGGGAGAAUAAGCUCCGGCUAACUCCGUG
RNAcentral lists this ribosomal RNA (433 nucleotides) under uncultured bacterium. RNAcentral's name for it is "partial 16S ribosomal RNA". It matches the Rfam family "Bacterial small subunit ribosomal RNA", at positions 29 to 507 of the family's 1533-position model. The record is from RNAcentral.